RNAcentral lists this non-coding RNA (23 nucleotides) under Cricetulus griseus (Chinese hamster). Lineage: Eukaryota; Metazoa; Chordata; Mammalia; Rodentia; Cricetidae. The record is from RNAcentral.
CUCGUCGCCAGUCUCAUUGAGAA